AGUCGUAACAAGGUUUCCGUAGGUGAACCUGCGGAAGGAUCAUUACCUAGAGUUUGUAGACUUCGGUCUGCUACCUCUUACCCAUGUCUUUUGAGUACCUUCGUUUCCUCGGCGGGUCCGCCCGCCGAUUGGACAACAUUCAAACCCUUUGCAGUUGCAAUCAGCGUCUGAAAAAACAUAAUAGUUACAACUUUCAACAACGGAUCUCUUGGUUCUGGCAUCGGUGAAGAACGCAGCGAAAUGCGAUAAGUAGUGUGAAUUGCAGAAUUCAGUGAAUCAUCGAAUCUUUGAACGCACAUUGCGCCCCUUGGUAUUCCAUGGGGCAUGCCUGUUCGAGCGUCAUUUGUACCUUCAAGCUCUGCUUGGUGUUGGGUGUUUGUCUCGCCUCUGCGUGUAGACUCGCCUUAAAACAAUUGGCAGCCGGCGUAUUGAUUUCGGAGCGCAGUACAUCUCGCGCUUUGCACUCAUAACGACGACGUCCAAAAGUACAUUUUUACACUCUUGACCUCGGAUCAGGUAGGGAUACCCGCUGAACUUAAGCA
This 542-nucleotide ribosomal RNA is filed under the name uncultured fungus. Its description in RNAcentral is "eukaryotic LSU rRNA". The stretch from base 189 to 342 matches the Rfam family "5.8S ribosomal RNA". The record is from RNAcentral. Lineage: Eukaryota; Fungi.